Molecule: ribosomal RNA, 484 nt
Filed under: uncultured bacterium
Lineage: Bacteria
Description: partial 16S ribosomal RNA
Rfam family: Bacterial small subunit ribosomal RNA
Source: RNAcentral
AUUGAACGCUGGCGGCAGGCCUAACACAUGCAAGUCGAGCGGAUGGAGGGAGCUUGCUCCUGGAUUCAGCGGCGGACGGGUGAGUAAUGCCUAGGAAUCUGCCUGGUAGUGGGGGAUAACGUCCGGAAACGGGCGCUAAUACCGCAUACGUCCUGAGGGAGAAAGUGGGGGAUCUUCGGACCUCACGCUCUCUGAUGAGCCUAGGUCGGAUUAGCUAGUUGGUGGGGUAAAGGCCUACCAAGGCGACGAUCCGUAACUGGUCUGAGAGGAUGAUCAGUCACACUGGAACUGAGACACGGUCCAGACUCCUACGGGAGGCAGCAGUGGGGAAUAUUGGACAAUGGGCGAAAGCCUGAUCCAGCCAUGCCGCGUGUGUGAAGAAGGUCUUCGGAUUGUAAAGCACUUUAAGUUGGGAGGAAGGGCAGUAAGUUAAUACCUUGCUGUUUUGACGUUACCAACAGAAUAAGCACCGGCUAACUUCGUG